This 465-nucleotide ribosomal RNA is filed under the name uncultured bacterium. Its description in RNAcentral is "partial 16S ribosomal RNA". It matches the Rfam family "Bacterial small subunit ribosomal RNA", at positions 28 to 507 of the family's 1533-position model. The record is from RNAcentral.
GAUGAACGCUGGCGGCGUGCUUAACACAUGCAAGUCGAACGGAAAGGCUCCUGCUUGCAGGGGUACUCGAGUGGCGAACGGGUGAGUAACACGUGGGUGAUCUGCCCUGCACUUCGGGAUAAGCCUGGGAAACUGGGUCUAAUACCGGAUAGGACCACAUUUUGGAUGGUGUGGUGGAAAGUUUUUCGGUGUGGGAUGAGCUCGCGGCCUAUCAGCUUGUUGGUGGGGUAAUGGCCUACCAAGGCGUCGACGGGUAGCCGGCCUGAGAGGGUGUACGGCCACAUUGGGACUGAGAUACGGCCCAGACUCCUACGGGAGGCAGCAGUGGGGAAUAUUGCACAAUGGGCGCAAGCCUGAUGCAGCGACGCCGCGUGGGGGAUGACGGCCUUCGGGUUGUAAACUCCUCUCGCUAGGGACGAAGCGCAAGUGACGGUACCUGGAGAAGAAGCACCGGCUAACUACGUG